RNAcentral lists this ribosomal RNA (497 nucleotides) under uncultured bacterium. RNAcentral's name for it is "partial 16S ribosomal RNA". It matches the Rfam family "Bacterial small subunit ribosomal RNA", at positions 28 to 507 of the family's 1533-position model. The record is from RNAcentral.
GAUGAACGCUGGCGGUGUGCCUAAUACAUGCAAGUCGAGCGAACGGACGAGAAGCUUGCUUCUCUGAUGUUAGCGGCGGACGGGUGAGUAAUACGUGGAUAACCUACCUAUAAGACUGGGAUAACUUCGGGAAACCGGAGCUAAUACCGGAUAAUAUUUUGAACCGCAUGGUUCAAAAGUGAAAGACGGUCUUGCUGUCACUUAUAGAUGGAUCCGCGCUGCAUUAGCUAGUUGGUAAGGUAACGGCUUACCAAGGCAACGAUGCAUAGCCGACCUGAGAGGGUGAUCGGCCACACUGGAACUGAGACACGGUCCAGACUCCUACGGGAGGCAGCAGUAGGGAAUCUUCCGCAAUGGGCGAAAGCCUGACGGAGCAACGCCGCGUGAGUGAUGAAGGUCUUCGGAUCGUAAAGCUCUGUUAUUAGGGAAGAACAUAUGUGUAAGUAACUGUGCACAUCCUGACGGUACCUAAUCAGAAAGCCACGGCUAACUACGUG